This 229-nucleotide long non-coding RNA is filed under the name Setaria italica (foxtail millet). RNAcentral describes it as "long non-coding RNA (SITA_LNC006723)". The record is from RNAcentral. Lineage: Eukaryota; Viridiplantae; Streptophyta; Magnoliopsida; Poales; Poaceae.
GAAAUACUACCCUAGUAUAUGGGUAGAUGCAUAGCCGACGGUGUGAUGCCUCGGACCGACAUAGCCAAUACCGAGGGUAUCACCUUUAGUCCAAAAAAAAAAGAAGGAAAAAAGGCAGACAUAUGGAUAGCUGAUGAAAUUGGAUGUGAUAUGGUCGAUGCAAUACAAGUCGCCCUUAGAACAAAUAAUACUUGCAAUAUUUGGAAUACAGAAGGUUAUUACAUCGAAG